Molecule: ribosomal RNA, 441 nt
Filed under: uncultured bacterium
Lineage: Bacteria
Description: partial 16S ribosomal RNA
Rfam family: Bacterial small subunit ribosomal RNA
Source: RNAcentral
CCUACGGGAGGCAGCAGUGGGGAAUAUUGGGCAAUGGAGGAAACUCUGACCCAGCAACGCCGCGUGAAGGAUGAAGGUUUUCGGAUUGUAAACUUCUGUCGCGAGGGAUGAAGAAUGACGGUACCUCGUAAGAAAGCCCCGGCUAAAUACGUGCCAGCAGCCGCGGUAAUACGUAUGGAGCACGCGUUAUCCGGAUUUACUGGGUUUAAAGGGAGAGUAGGUGGCAGAGCAAGUCCGAAGGGAAAACCCAAAGCUCAACUAUGGGAAUGCUUUAGAAACUGCUCAGCUAGAGUGCAGGAGAGGCAAGUGGAAUGCGUAGUGUAGCGGGGAAAUGCGUAGAUAUUAGGAGGAACACCAGUGGCGAAGGCGGCUUGCUGGACUGUAACUGACGCUGAGGCUCGAAAGCGUGGGGAGCGAACAGGAUUAGAUACCCUUGUAGUC